ACGCUCGACACCUACGAGAGGCAGCAGUGGGGAAUAUUGCACAAUGGGGGAAACCCUGAUGCAGCGACGCCGCGUGAAGGAAGAAGUAUCUCGGUAUGUAAACUUCUAUCAGCAGGGAAGAAAGUGACGGUACCUGACUAAGAAGCCCCGGCUAACUACGUGCCAACAGCCGCGGUAAUCUGAGCGGGCUGGCAAGGC
RNAcentral lists this ribosomal RNA (198 nucleotides) under uncultured bacterium. RNAcentral's name for it is "partial 16S ribosomal RNA". It matches the Rfam family "Bacterial small subunit ribosomal RNA", at positions 328 to 539 of the family's 1533-position model. The record is from RNAcentral.